Molecule: transfer RNA, 73 nt
Filed under: Mustela putorius furo (domestic ferret)
Lineage: Eukaryota; Metazoa; Chordata; Mammalia; Carnivora; Mustelidae
Rfam family: tRNA
About the family: Transfer RNA (tRNA) molecules are approximately 80 nucleotides in length. Their secondary structure includes four short double-helical elements and three loops (D, anti-codon, and T loops). Further hydrogen bonds mediate the characteristic L-shaped molecular structure. tRNAs have two regions of fundamental functional importance: the anti-codon, which is responsible for specific mRNA codon recognition, and the 3' end, to which the tRNAs corresponding amino acid is attached (by aminoacyl-tRNA synthetases). tRNAs cope with the degeneracy of the genetic code in two manners: having more than one tRNA (with a specific anti-codon) for a particular amino acid; and 'wobble' base-pairing, i.e. permitting non-standard base-pairing at the 3rd anti-codon position.
Source: Rfam by way of RNAcentral
GCCUGACUGGCUCAGUCAGUAGAGCAGGAGUCUCUUGAUCUAGGGGUCAUGAGUUCAAGCCCCAUGUUGGACA